RNAcentral lists this long non-coding RNA (222 nucleotides) under Panax ginseng (ginseng). RNAcentral's name for it is "long non-coding RNA (PGIN_LNC007656)". The record is from RNAcentral. Lineage: Eukaryota; Viridiplantae; Streptophyta; Magnoliopsida; Apiales; Araliaceae.
UCCUUUUUCAGAGAAAUGGGCAGUUUUGAUCUUUCUACAUAUGCAACCCAUGGGCACAGUAGAUGGGGUGUUAAUGUAAGAAUCUAUCAAGUUUUUGCAGGUUUUAAGGAUGAGGCAACUUGCUUAUUCAUAGAGCCCAACUAUUAGCUCAACCCUAAACAGAAAUUCAGUAAAAGAACUUAGAAAGAAAAAGUUCACAAGUGGCUGAUGGCCCAAACAUCC